RNAcentral lists this ribosomal RNA (1143 nucleotides) under uncultured organism. Its description in RNAcentral is "bacterial SSU rRNA". It matches the Rfam family "Bacterial small subunit ribosomal RNA", at positions 219 to 1355 of the family's 1533-position model. The record is from RNAcentral.
UUAAGGAUGGUCCCGCGUCCCAUUAGCUUGUUGGUGGGGUAAUGGCCUACCAAGGCGACGAUGGGUAGCCGGCCUGAGAGGGUGUCCGGCCACACUGGGACUGAGAUACGGCCCAGACUCCUACGGGAGGCAGCAGUCGAGAAGCUUCGGCAAUGGGCGAAAGCCUGACCGAGCGACGCCGCGUGAGCGAUGAAGGUCCUAUGGAUUGUAAAGCUCUGUCAGAUUGGGAAGAAAACUUCGCGAUUAAUACCCGCGAAGCUUGACGGUACCAUCAGAGGAAGCACCGGCUAACUCCGUGCCAGCAGCCGCGGUAAUACGGAGGGUGCGAGCGUUGUUCGGAUUCACUGGGUAUAAAGGGUGCGUAGGCGGCCUCGUAAGUCAGGGGUGAAAUAUGACGGCUCAACCGUCAAACUGCCCCUGAAACUGCAAGGCUUGAGUCCGGGAGAGGAAGGUGGAAUUCCUGGUGUAGCGGUGAAAUGCGUAAAUAUCAGGAGGAACACCGGUGGCGAAGGCGGCCUUCUGGUCCGGUACUGACGCUGAGGCACGAAAGCUAGGGGAGCGAACAGGAUUAGAUACCCUGGUAGUCCUAGCCGUAAACGAUGGGCACUAGGUGUCGGAGGAGUCUACCCCUUCGGUGCCGCAGCUAAUGCAUUAAGUGCCCCACCUGGGGAGUACGAUCGCAAGGUUGAAACUCAAAGGAAUUGACGGGGGCCCGCACAAGCGGUGGAGCAUGUGGUUUAAUUCGAUGCAACGCGAAGAACCUUACCUGGGCUUGACAUGCAGGGGACAGGUGCAGAAAUGUACCCUUCUUCGGACCCCUGUGCAGGUGCUGCAUGGCUGUCGUCAGCUCGUGUCGUGAAAUGUUGGGUUAAGUCCCGCAACGAGCGCAACCCCUGUCUUCAGUUGCCAUCAGUUCGGCUGGGGACUCUGGAGAGACUGCCGGUGACAAACCGGAGGAAGGUGGGGACGACGUCAAGUCAUCAUGGCCCUUACGCCCAGGGCUACACACGUGCUACAAUGGUCGGUACAAUGGGCAGCAAUACCGUGAGGUGGAGCGAAUCCCAAAAAGCCGGCCUCAGUUCGGAUUGGAGUCUGCAACUCGACUCCAUGAAGUCGGAAUCGCUAGUAAUCGCGUAUCAGCAU